This is a non-coding RNA of Bos taurus (domestic cattle), 73 nucleotides long. The record is from Rfam. NCBI's taxonomy places the organism in Eukaryota, Metazoa, Chordata, Mammalia, Artiodactyla, Bovidae.
UCCCUGGUGGCUCAGCCAGUCAAAGUGUCUGCCUACAAUGCGGGAGACUCAGGUUCAAUCCCUGGGUGGGGAA